AUUGAACGCUGGCGGCAUGCUUUACACAUGCAAGUCGAACGGCAGCGCGGGCUUCGGCCUGGCGGCGAGUGGCGAACGGGUGAGUAAUACAUCGGAACGUGCCCAGUAGUGGGGGAUAGCUCGGCGAAAGCCGGAUUAAUACCGCAUACGACCUGAGGGUGAAAGCGGGGGAUCUUCGGACCUCGCGCUAUUGGAGCGGCCGAUGGCAGAUUAGCUAGUUGGUGGGGUAAAGGCCCACCAAGGCGACGAUCUGUAGCUGGUCUGAGAGGACGACCAGCCACACUGGGACUGAGACACGGCCCAGACUCCUACGGGAGGCAGCAGUGGGGAAUUUUGGACAAUGGGCGAAAGCCUGAUCCAGCAAUGCCGCGUGUGUGAUGAAGGCCUUCGGGUUGUAAAGCGCUUUUGGCGGGAACGAAAAGGACUGUGCCAAUACCACGGUUCGAUGACGGUACCCGCAGAAUAAGCACCGGCUAACUACGUG
Molecule: ribosomal RNA, 484 nt
Filed under: uncultured bacterium
Lineage: Bacteria
Description: partial 16S ribosomal RNA
Rfam family: Bacterial small subunit ribosomal RNA
Source: RNAcentral